CUCCUGCAAAAGUUAGUUAGUCACCAUUUGGUUACCUCAUAUGGACUUGAGCUGAUUUUCACCAUCCUGCUCGAAUUCUCCUCCUCCGAUGGUUGGGGGCAUCCAUCAACCAGGCCCUCCUUAGAAUUCGAGCCCAUCGGAAGCCCCAGAUAACCCCCUAGUAAUUAUGUGAAUUUCUUCUCGGAUGAAUUGCUCUUCUUCCACCACCUACCCUCCAACAUGCUGUCGCUCCUGUCAUG
This 239-nucleotide long non-coding RNA is filed under the name Elaeis guineensis (African oil palm). RNAcentral's name for it is "long non-coding RNA (EGUI_LNC040478)". The record is from RNAcentral. Lineage: Eukaryota; Viridiplantae; Streptophyta; Magnoliopsida; Arecales; Arecaceae.